CAGAGGGAAGCAAGACCGCGAGGUGGAGCAAAUCCCUAAAAGCCAUCCCAGUUCGGAUUGCAGGCUGCAACCCGCCUGUAUGAAGUUGGAAUCGCUAGUAAUCGCGGAUCAGCAUGCCGCGGUGAAUACGUUCCCGGGCCUUGUACACACCGCCCGUCACACCAUGAGAGUCGGGAACACCCGAAGUCCGUAGCCUAACCGCAAGGGGGGCGCGGCCGAAGGUGGGUUCGAUAAUUGGGGUGAAGUCGUAACAAGGUAAC
RNAcentral lists this ribosomal RNA (260 nucleotides) under uncultured bacterium. Its description in RNAcentral is "partial 16S ribosomal RNA". It matches the Rfam family "Bacterial small subunit ribosomal RNA", at positions 1240 to 1500 of the family's 1533-position model. The record is from RNAcentral.